Molecule: non-coding RNA, 58 nt
Submitted as: unclassified sequences
Source: Rfam
AUAAUGAUACUUCCGUAAGCGGCUGGCGGAGAACCCGGCAGAGGUGAAAUCCCUAUGA